AUUGAAACGGGGAAGGUUAUGGCGCUUGUGUUUGAUUCGUUCAUAAGCGUAUAGCUUUUCCCCUUUUAAU
RNAcentral lists this microRNA precursor (70 nucleotides) under Rhodnius prolixus. Its description in RNAcentral is "mir-965 microRNA precursor family". It matches the Rfam family "mir-965 microRNA precursor family". The record is from Rfam by way of RNAcentral. Lineage: Eukaryota; Metazoa; Arthropoda; Insecta; Hemiptera; Reduviidae.